CAACAAUUAUACCCAUUUUGUCCCCAAAGAGGCUAAAACCAACAAAAAAUUGCUUAGAAGUAGUAAAUAGCUUUGUUAGUGUUUCCAUGAUCAGAAAGUGUCACAAUCCAAUGCAUUUGACUAAUUAUAAGAGAUAAAGAUAGAUUAGGAGUGUUUAGACAACACUUAUACCCAUUUUGUUCUAAAAGAGGCUAAAACAAACAAAAAAUUGCUUAGAAGUAGUAAAUAGCUUUGUU
Molecule: small RNA, 236 nt
Filed under: Arabidopsis thaliana (thale cress)
Lineage: Eukaryota; Viridiplantae; Streptophyta; Magnoliopsida; Brassicales; Brassicaceae
Description: ATSL034480
Source: RNAcentral